ACGGGGUGCAGCAGGCGCGAAAACUUUACAAUGCGGGAAACCGUGAUAAGGGGUCCCCGAGUGCCUGUACACGCAGGCUGUUCAGGUGUUUAAAACGCAUCUGGAGAAAGGGCCGGGCAAGACCGGUGCCAGCCGCCGCGGUAAUACCGGCGGCUCGAGUGGUGGCCACUAUUACUGAGCUUAAAGCGUCCGUAGCCGGGUUGUUAAGUCUCCUGGGAAAUCCAACGGCUCAACCGUUGGGCGUUCAGGGGAUACUGGCAAUCUAGGGAUCGGGGGAGGUGAGAGGUACUCUAGGGGUAGGAGUGAAAUCCUGUAAUCCUUGGGGGACCACCUGUGGCGAAGGCGUCUCACCAGAACGACUCUGACGGUGAGGGACGAAAGCUGGGGGAGCAAACCGGAUUAGAUACCCGGGUAGUCCCAGCCGUAAACGAUGCGCGUUAGGUGUAUCGGUGACUACGAGUUACCGAGGUGCCGAAGGGAAACCGUGAAACGUGCCGCCUGGGAAGUACGGUCGCAAGGCUGAAACUUAAAGGAAUUGGCGGGGGAGCAC
This 550-nucleotide ribosomal RNA is filed under the name uncultured archaeon. RNAcentral describes it as "bacterial SSU rRNA". It matches the Rfam family "Archaeal small subunit ribosomal RNA", at positions 325 to 879 of the family's 1478-position model. The record is from RNAcentral.